RNAcentral lists this ribosomal RNA (447 nucleotides) under uncultured bacterium. Its description in RNAcentral is "partial 16S ribosomal RNA". It matches the Rfam family "Bacterial small subunit ribosomal RNA", at positions 330 to 792 of the family's 1533-position model. The record is from RNAcentral.
UCCAGACUCCUACGGGAGGCAGCAGUGGGGAAUAUUGGGCAAUGGGCGAAAGCCUGACCCAGCAACGCCGCGUGAAGGAAGAAGGCUUUCGGGUUGUAAACUUCUUUUGACAGGGAAGAGCAGAAGACGGUACCUGUCGAAUAAGCCACGGCUAACUACGUGCCAGCAGCCGCGGUAAUACGUAGGUGGCAAGCGUUGUCCGGAUUUACUGGGUGUAAAGGGCGUGUAGCCGGGCCGGCAAGUCAGAUGUGAAAUCCCAAGGCUCAACCUUGGAACUGCAUUUGAAACUGUUGGUCUUGAGUAUCGGAGAGGCAGGCGGAAUUCCUAGUGUAGCGGUGAAAUGCGUAGAUAUUAGGAGGAACACCAGUGGCGAAGGCGGCCUGCUGGACGACAACUGACGGUGAGGCGCGAAAGCGCGGGGAGCAAACAGGAUUAGAUACCCCUGUA